Molecule: small nuclear RNA, 96 nt
Organism: Lynx canadensis (Canada lynx)
Lineage: Eukaryota; Metazoa; Chordata; Mammalia; Carnivora; Felidae
Source: Ensembl
UUGCUUCUGCAGCACAUUUACUAAAAUUGUAACAAUUUGAGAAGAUUAGCAUGGCCCAAGGAUGACAGGCAAAAUUUUUAUGUGAAAGUGAUACAG